CGGGAAUCGGUGGCUUCUUUAGCACUUGAUUCGCUGGCUUUUGACUCCGGGAACUGAUGGCUUCCUUAGCAUCAUCUUCUCCGGCUUUGUUUGCGGCGAGAUACCUCUUUGGUUUAUCGCUGGUUUUGUUUUUUUGUUGUCCCCCUUCUCUGUUUUCUCUUGUGUCGAUUGCCUCUCGAUCUGAAUCUCCAAUUGUUUUUUCCUCUCCUUGGUAUAGGUAGUUGCAUCUUCAAGCUUAUCCGUAUCUUUAAAGAUGCCUGGUGUAAUUGUGCAGGAGUAUUGUUGUUUUAGAUCGAUGAUGGCAAUUGAUUUCGUUCUUAUGAAGCGAAGAAUCGUCGGUUCUUAGUCUACUGGAUUUCAUCCUCUUUUGACUACUCCGAUUGAUAGUUGCCGGUGGUUAUCGGAAGUUUGGUCCCAGUGAUAAUUUUGGAGUCUCCGGCGUGCCUCUCUGUCGAUG
RNAcentral lists this long non-coding RNA (457 nucleotides) under Brassica rapa (field mustard). RNAcentral describes it as "long non-coding RNA (BRAP_LNC003958)". The record is from RNAcentral. Lineage: Eukaryota; Viridiplantae; Streptophyta; Magnoliopsida; Brassicales; Brassicaceae.